CGCUUGGCUGACGAGUGGGAGACGGGUGAGAAAUGUGGGGGAAACGGCCUGAUGGAGGGGGAUAACCCCGGGAAACGGGGGCUAAUACCGAAAAACGUCUGAAGACCAAGGAGGGGGACCUUCGGGCCUCUUGCCCUGGGAUGUGCCCAUAGGGCAUUAGCUAGUAGGUGGGGUAAAGGCUCACGGCUCAACAAUGCCUAGAUGGUCUGACAAGAUGACCUGGUGAUUGGAACUGAGACACGGUCCAGACUCCUACGGGAGGCAGCAGUGGGGAAUAUUGCACAAUGGGCGCAUGCCUGAUGCUCUGAAUGCCGCGUGUAUGAAGAAGGCCUUCGGGUUGUCGGGACUUUCACUCUGGAGAAAGGGAAGAAAGUUAAUACCUGGGAUUGCUCAUUGGGAUACCCGACGGAACCUAAGUCCGGCUAACUCCGUGCCCUACGCCCCAGUAAUACGCGAGGGUUGGCAAGCGUUAAUCGGAAUUACUGGAAUUAUUGGGGCCGUAAUGGACGCGUUUGUGUGGUCUUAUGUGAAAUCGUCGGGCUCAACCUGGUCACUGCAUCCGAGUCUGGCCACCUGGUGAUCUCGUGAGUGGGUAGAAGUGCCGGUGUUCCGUGUGUAUGCGGUGAGAUGCUGGAAGAAUACCGAGUGGCGAAUGCGGCCCCAAGGUUAAACUUUCACUGACUGCUCAUGUGCCUGAGCGCUGCGAGAGCGUGUGGGAU
RNAcentral lists this ribosomal RNA (719 nucleotides) under Kosakonia cowanii. Its description in RNAcentral is "bacterial SSU rRNA". It matches the Rfam family "Bacterial small subunit ribosomal RNA", at positions 81 to 778 of the family's 1533-position model. Lineage: Bacteria; Pseudomonadati; Pseudomonadota; Gammaproteobacteria; Enterobacterales; Enterobacteriaceae. The record is from RNAcentral.